This 497-nucleotide ribosomal RNA is filed under the name uncultured bacterium. Its description in RNAcentral is "partial 16S ribosomal RNA". It matches the Rfam family "Bacterial small subunit ribosomal RNA", at positions 28 to 507 of the family's 1533-position model. The record is from RNAcentral.
GAUGAACGCUGGCGGCGUGCCUAAUACAUGCAAGUCGAGCGAACAGACGAGGAGCUUGCUCCUCUGACGUUAGCGGCGGACGGGUGAGUAACACGUGGAUAACCUACCUAUAAGACUGGGAUAACUUCGGGAAACCGGAGCUAAUACCGGAUAAUAUAUUGAACCGCAUGGUUCAAUGGUGAAAGACGGUUUUGCUGUCACUUAUAGAUGGAUCCGCGCCGCAUUAGCUAGUUGGUAAGGUAACGGCUUACCAAGACAACGAUGCGUAGCCGACCUGAGAGGGUGAUCGGCCACACUGGAACUGAGACACGGUCCAGACUCCUACGGGAGGCAGCAGUAGGGAAUCUUCCGCAAUGGGCGAAAGCCUGACGGAGCAACGCCGCGUGAGUGAUGAAGGUCUUCGGAUCGUAAAACUCUGUUAUUAGGGAAGAACAAAUGUGUAAGUAACUAUGCACGUCUUGACGGUACCUAAUCAGAAAGCCACGGCUAACUACGUG